RNAcentral lists this ribosomal RNA (717 nucleotides) under uncultured bacterium. Its description in RNAcentral is "bacterial SSU rRNA". It matches the Rfam family "Bacterial small subunit ribosomal RNA", at positions 102 to 798 of the family's 1533-position model. The record is from RNAcentral.
ACGGCUGAGUAACGCGUAGGCAACCUGCCCUUAGGAUGGGGACAACGGCCCGAAAGGACCGCUAAUACCGAAUGGACUCUAACUUUCGCAUGGAAGAAAGAGGAAAGAUGGUGCAAGCCAUCGCCGAAGGAAGGGCCUGCGUCUGAUUAGCCAGUUGGUGAGGUAACGGCUCACCAAAGCGACGAUCAGUAGCCGGUCUGAGAGGAUGAACGGCCACAAUGGGACUGAGACACGGCCCAUACUCCUACGGGAGGCAGCAGUGGGGAAUCUUCCGCAAUGGGCGAAAGCCUGACGGAGCAACGCCGCGUGAGUGAAGAAGGUCUUCGGAUCGUAAAGCUCUGUUGUUGGGGACGAAAGGGUAGACGAGGCAAUGCGUCUACUAAGACGGUACCCGACGAGGAAGCCACGGCUAACUACGUGCCAGCAGCCGCGGUAAUACGUAGGUGGCGAGCGUUGUCCGGAAUGAUUGGGCGUAAAGGGAGCGCAGGUGGGACGGUAAAGUCCUUCUUAAAAAGCGUGGGGGCUCAGCCCCAUGAAGGGAAGGAAACUAUCGAUCUUGAGUGCCGGAGAGGAAAGCGGAAUUCCCAGUGUAGCGGUGAAAAUGCGUAGAUAUUGGGAAGAACACCAGUGGCGAAAGGCGGCUUUCUGGACGGCAACUGACACUGACGCUCGAAAGCCCAGGGGAGCGAACGGGAUUAGAUACCCCGGGUAGUCCUG